This 729-nucleotide ribosomal RNA is filed under the name uncultured bacterium. RNAcentral's name for it is "bacterial SSU rRNA". It matches the Rfam family "Bacterial small subunit ribosomal RNA", at positions 111 to 839 of the family's 1533-position model. The record is from RNAcentral.
UAACGCGUAUGCAACCUGUCCGUUACAGGGGGAUAGCCCAUGGAAACGUGGAUUAACACUCCAUAAUAUAAUAUAGAGGCAUCUUUGUAUUAUUAAAUAUUCAUAGGUAACGGUUGGGCAUGCGUCCUAUUAGAUAGUUGGGGGGGUAACGGCCCACCAAGUCGAUGAUAGGUAGGGGUUCUGAGAGGAAGGUCCCCCACACUGGUACUGAGACACGGACCAGACUCCUACGGGAGGCAGCAGUGAGGAAUAUUGGUCAAUGGGCGAGAGCCUGAACCAGCCAAGUCGCGUGAGGGAUGACUGCCCUAUGGGUUGUAAACCUCUUUUGUAUGGGGGGAAUAAGCUUUACGAGUAGAGUGAUGACAGUACCAUACGAAUAAGCAUCGGCUAACUCCGUGCCAGCAGCCGCGGUAAUACGGAGGAUGCGAGCGUUAUCCGGAUUUAUUGGGUUUAAAGGGUGCGUAGGCGGCAUUAUAAGUUAGUGGUAAAAUAUUGGGGCUUCACCUCACUACGCCAUUAAUACUGUAGAGCUAGAGAACAGACGAGGUAGGCGGAAUAAGUUAAGUAGCGGUGAAAUGCAUAGAUAUAACUUAGAACACCGAUAGCGAAGGCAGCUUACCAGACUGAGUCUGACGCUGAUGCACGAGAGCAUGGGUAGCGAACAGGAUUAGAUACCCUGGUAGUCCAUGCCAUAAACGAUGCUCACUGGCCUUAGGCGAUAUACGGUCU